GAUUUAAACAAAAUUUGUGGGUUGUUUUGAUUAUAAAGACACAUUUAGAUGUUUUGGUUUUUUUGGUUUGAUUUUUAUGUGGUUGUUUUGGAGUUUACCUUUUGUAUAAGGCAGUGAGGAUUGGUAUGUGAAUUAGUUUGAUCGAUUGGAACUUAUUUAGCUUUAUUUGUGGAGAGUUGAAUUUUAUUAAGCUUAUUAUGAUAUGUAUUGGAGUUUUUUAUCUAUAUCUAUUUUUUUUCAUUUAAUGAUGAUUUAGUUUAUUUAAGGGCUGAUGGUUAAGCUUCAGUUAUUACUUUUUCUUUUUCUUGUUUUAAUUUUUUUUUGAAUUGAUUUGUUUUGUUGUAAAAUAUUAGUUUUGUGAUUUGAUGGUUUUUUGGUGUUUAGGUUAUUUUGUUGAUUUUUUUAAUGAUCUUUCUAUUAGUAUUAUUUGAUGGUUUUUGGGGAUUUUGAUGUUUGAUUUUUUUAGGUUAAGAAUUAUUACUAGGGAUUUUUUAAGCUGUUUAACAAAAUCUAAUUUUAUAUUUGUUAUGAAAGAUUUCUGCUCAGUGAUUUAUUAAAUAGCCGCGGUAUUUUGACUGUGCUAAGGUAGCGAAGUCAUUUGUUUUUUUAUUGGAAACUUGUAUGAGGGGAUUUUUUGAGAAAUUUUUAUUAAUUUUUAUAGUUUUGAAUUUGAUUUUUUAGUGAAAAGGCUAAAGUGUUCUUAAAGACGAGAAGACCCUAAAAUCUUUAUUUUACAGAAGGAAUAGUAAAUUUUACUUGGGGGAAGGUUGUAAUAUAAUUUAUAAAAAUUUGUUAUUUUGAACUUUUUGAAGGUUGAUGGGAUAGAUACUUUGGGGAUAACAGGAUAAUGUGAUUUUAAAGUUCUUAUUUGAGAUUGAGUUUGUUACCUCGAUGUUGGUUUUUGGAGUUUGCUAGGGGUAGGUUUUUAGUUAAAUAAUCUGUUCGAUUAUUAAAACUGAACAUGAACUGAGUUCAAAUCGGUGUGAGCCAAAUUGGAUUUUAUCUUAAAAUGAUUGUAUAGUAUCUAGUACGAAAGGAUUGAUGCUUUUAAAUUUUCUGAGGCGUUUAUGAGUUGGGUUAGGAA
Molecule: ribosomal RNA, 1084 nt
Filed under: Demodex brevis
Lineage: Eukaryota; Metazoa; Arthropoda; Arachnida; Trombidiformes; Demodicidae
Description: 16S ribosomal RNA
Source: RNAcentral